UGGGGAAUUUUGGACAAUGGGCGAAAGCCUGAUCCAGCAAUGCCGCGUGUGUGAAGAAGGCCUUCGGGUUGUAAAGCACUUUUGUCCGGAAAGAAAUCCUUGGCUCUAAUACAGUCGGGGGAUGACGGUACCGGAAGAAUAAGCACCGGCUAACUACGUGCCAGCAGCCGCGGUAAUACGUAGGGUGCAAGCGUUAAUCGGAAUUACUGGGCGUAAAGCGUGCGCAGGCGGUUUGCUAAGACCGAUGUGAAAUCCCCGGGCUCAACCUGGGAACUGCAUUGGUGACUGGCAGGCUAGAGUAUGGCAGAGGGGGGUAGAAUUCCACGUGUAGCAGUGAAAUGCGUAGAGAUGUGGAGGAAUACCGAUGGCGAAGGCAGCCCCCUGGGCCAAUACUGACGCUCAUGCACGAAAGCGUGGGGAGCAAACAGGAUUAGAUACCCUGGUAGUCCACGCCCUAAAACGAUGUCAACUAGUUGUUGGGGGAUUCAUUUCCUUAGUAACGUAGCUAACGCGUGAAGUUGACCGCCUGGGGAGUACGGUCGCAAGAUUAAAACUUAAAGGAAUUGACGGGGUCAUA
RNAcentral lists this ribosomal RNA (577 nucleotides) under uncultured bacterium. Its description in RNAcentral is "partial 16S ribosomal RNA". It matches the Rfam family "Bacterial small subunit ribosomal RNA", at positions 355 to 923 of the family's 1533-position model. The record is from RNAcentral.